This 35-nucleotide ribosomal RNA is filed under the name Acer palmatum. RNAcentral's name for it is "partial 25S ribosomal RNA". Lineage: Eukaryota; Viridiplantae; Streptophyta; Magnoliopsida; Sapindales; Sapindaceae. The record is from RNAcentral.
GCGACCCCAGGUCGGGGGGGAUUCCCCGCUGAUUU